GCUCCGUUGGUGAACCAGCGGAGGGAUCAUUACCGAGUUUACAACUCCCAAACCCCUGUGAACAUACCUUAAUGUUGCCUCGGCGGAUCAGCCCGCGCCCCGUAAAACGGGACGGCCCGCCAGAGGACCCAAACUCUAAUGUUUCUUAUUGUAACUUCUGAGUAAAACAAACAAAUAAAUCAAAACUUUCAACAACGGAUCUCUUGGUUCUG
RNAcentral lists this unclassified non-coding RNA (212 nucleotides) under plant metagenome. Its description in RNAcentral is "partial contains small subunit ribosomal RNA, internal transcribed spacer 1, and 5.8S ribosomal RNA". The record is from RNAcentral.